CGUUCUUAAAAAUAAAAAAUGAUCUUUAAGGGAUCUUGCAACUCAAACAUUCGAUAAAAUCUAGUUCAAAACUAUUUGACCUAAUUAUUAUUUUUUAAUCAAUUACAUUCUGACUGAAAACAUCGUUUAAGAGGAUGCUGAAUGGAAGGAUAGAAGAAUUAGGGUUUCUUUUUUUCCUUCCAGGCUUUUAAGAUUGGCUUGUUGACAUGACACCAUGCAUAUUUGGGAGUCCGGGAUUAUGUAUGAAUUCACGUUUGUGAAUCUCAAGUUUAGCCUGGGAAAUGUAAAUGUAUGGAAGACAUCCUGUUCACACAAAGAAAAUAGCUUCGCAUAUGAUUUCCUUUGGUAAAUAUUUUAAAGAAAGAUGGCAUCAUGUCCUCCGAAAGGUCUCUUUUCUUCAUUUCUCAGAGCGAAUUUCUACUGAGCUCCUUGGAAAAAGAUAAAAAAAGAAAGUGAAAGAAAAUCAUAGAGCGUAUACCCAUUUAAUGUACCAAAUGUCCCAUCCGAGGUUUCAGGGAGGUGUAAAUACUCCUACACUACACAGCGCAUCCCCAAGAUCUCUGCCCACAGCCAAGAUCAAUGGUGCUGUUAGCAUAUCUGUGUUUUAUUAAGGCAACUAAAUGGAAUUUGUGUGCGUCGGGCUACUCGUGAUUUGGCAGGAAAUAGCAUGUAUGGUGUAAAAGUCAUCGACCAUAUUUCAUGGAAACUAAAGUGAAAGUCUACUUUUCUGCCCAAAUGCUUCAUCCUUACGUAGGUAAAUCCCAUUAAGAUGAAUGUUCUCCUUAUGCAUUCUCCUGAUGUCUUAACCUCACUAGACUCUCCUUUGAGGCUCUCUCUGGUGGUUUUGUUUGUAUCUCCACAGCUCUAAAGGGGGCCUUCACAAUUCUAGCUAAAGACCAGACGAGUACUCCUCCAAACGGGAUGCAAAUCGAUAUGGCAUCAAGAUGGCGUCAUUCAGGUUCGUGCUGUCUUGGAUGCUGGCGUUCUGCAUUCGGCCAUUCCCGUCUUUCCACGACUGUGGUGCUCCAGGAGAUCUGCCCUACAAGAUCUGGAACACCGUCAGAUGAAAGAAACUGGUAAGUCCUUCUCUGCAAGUUGAAUGUUUCGUUUCAAAAGCCGUGCCGGAUACCUACAAAGAUUUCCUCAGUCCCCAGCGCCCCGGCCCAAAGACAAGAAGCAAAACCUUGUAACGGUCAAAAGCAGAAGUUAACGGUUUAGAACUUUUAGGCCGUCCUGGGCGGUCUCUUCUAGCAAGAUGGCGCCUUCAAGGGGUUUCUCACUGUUGAAGCAGAAGUUUAACGUUAUCGGUUGUAUGAUCAUCAGGUGAGGCUUAUGGUUUGCGAGAGAGUAGGGAGGGCUCUGCCGUGUACCAGCUUUCUUCAGCAAGGCUUUCCCUCUUCUUCUCUCAGGAUAGCAUGCUUUCACAGAGAAUCUUGAUGUUUCCCUGUGAGUGGUUUUAUAGGGGCUUCACCUCUAGCAUGGGCUUUGCUGGGGCCCUAGAGACUUACGUUGGCCCCUGGUAAGUUCACUAAUGGCAGUGCCUGUAUUUCUAUUUUUUUAAAUUUUUUAAAAAAAUUUGUGGGGCGCCUGGGUGGCUCGGUCGGUUAAGCGUCCGACUUCGGCUCAGGUCACGAUCUCGCGGUCCGUGAGUUCGAGCCCCGCGUCGGGCUUUGGGCUGAUG
This 1681-nucleotide long non-coding RNA is filed under the name Felis catus (domestic cat). RNAcentral's name for it is "lncRNA (ENSFCAG00000049251.1)". Lineage: Eukaryota; Metazoa; Chordata; Mammalia; Carnivora; Felidae. The record is from RNAcentral.